This 74-nucleotide transfer RNA is filed under the name Thermoflexibacter ruber. Its description in RNAcentral is "Flexibacter ruber tRNA". It matches the Rfam family "tRNA". Rfam says of the family: Transfer RNA (tRNA) molecules are approximately 80 nucleotides in length. Their secondary structure includes four short double-helical elements and three loops (D, anti-codon, and T loops). The record is from Rfam by way of RNAcentral. RNAcentral also lists the same sequence under 2 other names. Lineage: Bacteria; Pseudomonadati; Bacteroidota; Cytophagia; Cytophagales; Thermoflexibacteraceae.
GCACCCAUAGUUCAACUGGAUAGAAUAUCAGAUUUCGGCUCUGAGGGUUGAGGGUUCGAAUCCUUCUGGGUGCA